This 75-nucleotide transfer RNA is filed under the name Gymnopis multiplicata. Its description in RNAcentral is "tRNA-Leu". It matches the Rfam family "tRNA". From Rfam's summary of the family: Transfer RNA (tRNA) molecules are approximately 80 nucleotides in length. The record is from RNAcentral. Lineage: Eukaryota; Metazoa; Chordata; Amphibia; Gymnophiona; Dermophiidae.
GCUAACGUGGCAGAGCACGGUAAUUGCUAAAGACCUAAGCCCUUUUAAUCAGAGGUUCAAUUCCUCUCAUUAGCU